Molecule: long non-coding RNA, 3515 nt
Organism: Tympanuchus pallidicinctus (lesser prairie-chicken)
Lineage: Eukaryota; Metazoa; Chordata; Aves; Galliformes; Phasianidae
Exons: 5
Source: RefSeq, a predicted model, not a curated record
CUCCGUGCUCCCGGCUCCGCCGGAUGGGCAGCGCAGCGCGAGCGGCAGACUCCGCGUCCCGCUGUCGCCGUCCGAAGGCGCGAUUUGGGCUGAAAGCUGCCGAGCGCGGGGCGGUGGCUCCCGGCUUGUGAGGAACAGAAGCGUGCGUUAUCGUAUGACUUUGUGCUCGUGAGCUCUUCGACUUAAGCGCGUUUACCACCGAAGGAAUCCACUGAGAGCAGUGGUGUCAACCCUCCCACUUCUCCGUCUUUUGCCUCUCUCUUGUGUAGUAGUGAGGGGAAAGAAAACAGUGGGAGAGAGGAGGGUAUAGUGCUGUCGGCAGGGAAGCUUUGGCAAACGAUACAAGUUUGUUUUUCUCAGAUGCUUCUCAUAAAUAAACGGAUUAACACAAACAGUUGGUACAGAAACUACUUUAGUUGUGCAAUCAAACUUACUUCACUGCUUUAGAGAAUGAAGAUGGUAAAUGAUUUUCAUGAACCCUUUAGCAAAUUUUUAAACUUUGUCCUUUGUUUAUUAAGCCCCGUGAAGUGCACGUGUCCCAUUCUGCAGUCUUUCCCAUGCUCUCCCUCCUCCUAGGAUGCAGUGUGGUGCCUGAUGUGGAGCCUGAGUCCCCAGCUCAGGUGUAAAGGAGAACCAGAAAUGUCACCCUAGCAGUUUUGAGGCGUCAUCAACCACCUGGGUUUGCUGCUCUGAAACAAGGCACUCUGCAGCCACCAAGACCACCUCAGUUUCCCCUCCAUCUAGGCUAGCUCCAGAUCUUCAUCAGCUGGGCUGAAAACUACAGCAAUUCAGGAGCACUUGGCAUAUGCCAAGAGAGAGAGGUAAUGGCCUCAAGUUGCACAAAGAGAGGUUCAGAUUGAAUAUUCAGAAAAAUUUCUUCUCGGGAAGAGUGCUGAGGCAUUGGCACAGGUUGCCCAGGGAGAUGCUGGAGUCACUUUUCCUGAAGGUGUUGAAGAAACGUGGCACUGAGGGACAUGAUUUAGUAUGCAUGGUGGUGAUGGGUUGGUAGUUGGCCUAGAUCAUUUUAGUGAUCUUUUCCAACCAUAAUGAUUCUAUGAUUCUACACAGGAGCAUUCCUUCGAGGGGGGGGAAGAGGUUACACGAAAUGCAUUCCCUUCCCUCCAACAGGCAGAAGACAGAGACCUCAGCCCUCAUGAGCAGCCUCACCCAGGCUGCCCAGAGCUGGGAGCUGUCUGGCAGAACAACUUGGAUUCCAUGAGGUGCCACAUGCCACCCUUUUCCACCAAUCCUGGCAGUGGGAGGUUCUGUUUAAAAUCCAGCUUUGGAUGUGGUGAACUAUAGUUGAAUUUGGCCUUAGUGCACGGACAUGUUUGGAUAAAAUGUACCAACUCUUGUUGAGACUCACUGCUUGAGCAAUGCACAGGUUUCAUGCUUCUUUUCUGAUUUGCUUGGAAUUCUGCUCAGAAGAUUUUCCCAAACAGAAGAAAAUUCAAAAAUCGUAUUCAUUUUGGGAAACUUUGGAGGACACAAAGCUGUCCAACAGGUUAUUUUCUUUGGAGAAAAUAUAUGUUCUCUGUGGUCACUUCAAACGUACAUCAGACCAGAGAUCAUUCAAAUGAUCUUUUAAUGCUUCUAAAUGAAGAUAUAAUAUGACAGCUAAGAAACUCAAACGGGAAAGAAAUCCAUUUUUCUCCCAAAGGCUGACACACAGCUGAGACUGAUUUUUCUAAGGUUUCCUCUGAACUUGUCUGAACUAUUUUUUCAGACUGAAGAGUAGAACAACAGUAAUAGGAAUGAAGUGACAUUAAUAAUGUAACAUCAGUUCUUUUCUUCUUUCCCCUUUGCCUCAAUAUGCAAAGUCUGAUAGUUGCUGAAAUAUAUUCAAUCCUGAGGGACAAAAUGAGGACCUACAAAAAAAGCAAGGAUGGUAAGUUUGGAGUCAGAUUAUUUCCUGUCUCCUCAGAAGACAGAACAGCUGCUGUAAAAACAAGACCGUGAGGAGACACAGCAGUGUUGCUGCCAGAUAAGGAUAGCAUGGCUGUUCAUUCCCUUCUCACUCACGCAGGACAGGGCCAUCAUUAUCUAGUUUAAAGCAAACAUGACAGACACUGCUAUUAUCACAUCAGCAGAUUGUUCAGUUAUUAUUGUUUGUAUUGCAGGAGUGCCUGGAGGCCCAGGCUGUGUUGCAACACUUAUUUGCUAUGUGCGGGACAUACUUUCAGGAGACCGUUCCCAUCUGGAACAGCUUCUUCUGCACACACUAAGUACCAGUAAGUAAAAAGGGACUAAUUACACUGUACCAGAGCAAAGGAAAUGCAGUUUACCCAAAGUUGUAACUGAGAAACUCUUCUAUAGAGCUGUAUGGACAGCAUCAUUCUCAAGCCACGUGGAGAGACAGCAAAAUUAAUCAGCUGAUGUUUUUGCAUGUAGAAAGAAAAGAUUGCAUAUGCCUGAAACAACCUGCACUAAACAUGGUGAUACAAGUGGCAAUUCCACUUCUUCAGAAGGCAGCCUGAUAAUGGGAGACUUAAGAAUUUUUGUACAUGUCUUUGCUAAUGAUCCCUUUAAUUACUAGCUAUAAAUCAUAUGGUAUGAAAACAUCACCAUUCUCAUUUCAAGAAGAAAGAUUUUGUAAUGCUUUUUCUCUGUGUAAUACAUAUGGAUUUAGGGCUCUGUGGAUUAAAUUUGGCAAUUUCAGGCAUGCAAGGUUACUAAUCCGUACUUUGUCUACAUAAAAUCAAAAGAAGAAGCAAGGCAGCCUUGUGCCCUGGGGAUGGCUGGGGAAUUCCACACAUGCCUGUCUUCUGUAACUCUUGUCAAGGGUGAAAACAUUAAUGUCAGUGUUGCAAUAGUUACAGGCAGACCAAAGGGGCACACUUCAAGCAAAGCAAACGUGGUUUCAUUAAGUAUUUCUCUGUUUUCACUUCACAGUUAUUUUUUUGACACCUCUGUUCUCCCAGUUUCCUGAUGUUUUAAAGUAUGUAUUUGUCACAUUUAAUUCUGUUUUCCUGUAGUAGCUUCAUCCGCAGAGACUUCUCUUGGAGAACGGCCCAGAGAUUUUUCUGUUUCUUCUUACAUUUCUAUUUUCUCUGCAUCUGCUGUUACAUCAUCUAUAUGGGUUAUAUACACAUAAUUUUAGUUUUUAUGUCAAACUUUUAAUGCCACAAUCAGGCUGUCAAAAUGACUAAGUCCUGAGGAAUUUAUUUAGGCAAAAUUUGCACAGAAUUGUCUGUGAUUUCUUUAAUAAGUUGAAUGCUGCAAUAUUUCUGGUAGGUAUGCCAAAAUAAUAUAGGUAUAAGAAUAGAGCAUUAGUAAAAAUCAUUUCAGGAGACAGUAAAGUAAAUCACAUUGUGCAGCUUUAACAAGGUCAAUGAUGAACUGGAAGGAAGCAAGGAAUCUUGAUUUUGGCUUCAGUUUUCAAUUCUUGACCACGCUUCUUUGCUGUGUAAUUACACUAUUUACUGUUAAAUUUUAUUUAAUAUUGAACUGAGUAAAUUCUAUAAUUACUGAAUUUAAUAAAUUAUGUAACUAUUCUCCUGCAUCUCAUUAAUAGA